Molecule: ribosomal RNA, 1343 nt
Filed under: uncultured bacterium
Lineage: Bacteria
Description: 16S ribosomal RNA
Rfam family: Bacterial small subunit ribosomal RNA
Source: RNAcentral
GACGAACGCUGGCGGCGUGCUUAACACAUGCAAGUCGAACGGAAAGGCCCUGCUUUUGUGGGGUGCUCGAGUGGCGAACGGGUGAGUAACACGUGAGUAACCUGCCCUUGACUUUGGGAUAACUUCAGGAAACUGGGGCUAAUACCGGAUAGGAGCUCCUGCUGCGUGGUGGGGGUUGGAAAGUUUCGGCGGUUGGGGAUGGACUCGCGGCUUAUCAGCUUGUUGGUGGGGUAGUGGCUUACCAAGGCUUUGACGGGUAGCCGGCCUGAGAGGGUGACCGGCCACAUUGGGACUGAGAUACGGCCCAGACUCCUACGGGAGGCAGCAGUGGGGAAUAUUGCACAAUGGGCGGAAGCCUGAUGCAGCAACGCCGCGUGCGGGAUGACGGCCUUCGGGUUGUAAACCGCUUUCGCCUGUGACGAAGCGUGAGUGACGGUAAUGGGUAAAGAAGCACCGGCUAACUACGUGCCAGCAGCCGCGGUGAUACGUAGGGUGCGAGCGUUGUCCGGAUUUAUUGGGCGUAAAGGGCUCGUAGGUGGUUGAUCGCGUCGGAAGUGUAAUCUUGGGGCUUAACCCUGAGCGUGCUUUCGAUACGGGUUGACUUGAGGAAGGUAGGGGAGAAUGGAAUUCCUGGUGGAGCGGUGGAAUGCGCAGAUAUCAGGAGGAACACCAGUGGCGAAGGCGGUUCUCUGGGCCUUUCCUGACGCUGAGGAGCGAAAGCGUGGGGAGCGAACAGGCUUAGAUACCCUGGUAGUCCACGCUGUAAACGGUGGGUACUAGGUGUGGGGUCCAUUCCACGGGUUCCGUGCCGUAGCUAACGCUUUAAGUACCCCGCCUGGGGAGUACGGCCGCAAGGCUAAAACUCAAAGGAAUUGACGGGGCCCCGCACAAGCGGCGGAGCAUGCGGAUUAAUUCGAUGCAACGCGUAGAACCUUACCUGGGUUUGACAUGGAUCGGGAGUGCUCAGAGAUGGGUGUGCCUCUUUUGGGGUCGGUUCACAGGUGGUGCAUGCCUGUCGUCAGCUCGUGUCGUGAGAUGUUGGGUUAAGUCCCGCAACGAGCGCAACCCUUGUUCACUGUUGCCAGCACGUUAUGGUGGGGACUCAGUGGAGACCGCCGGGGUCAACUCGGAGGAAGGUGGGGAUGACGUCAAGUCCUCAUGCCCCUUAUGUCCAGGGCUUCACGCAUGCUACAAUGGCUGGUACAGAGAGUGGCGAGCCUGUGAGGGUGAGCGAAUCUCGGAAAGCCGGUCUCAGUUCGGAUUGGGGUCUGCAACUCGACCUCAUGAAGUCGGAGUCGCUAGUAAUCGCAAAUCAGCAACGCUGCGGUGAAUACGUUCCCGGG